UACAGGGGGUGCAAACGUUGCUCGGAAUUAUUGGGCGUAAAGCGCGCGUAGGCGGCUACUUAAGUCGGAUGUGAAAGCCCUUGGCUCAACUGAGGAAGUGCACCCGAAACUGAGUGGCUUGAGUACUAAAGAGGGUCGCGGAAUUCCCGGUGUAGAGGUGAAAUUCGUAGAUAUCGGGAGGAACACCGGUGGCGAAGGCGGCGACCUGGGUAGAUACUGACGCUGAGGAGCGAAAGCGUGGGGAGCGAACAGG
This 253-nucleotide ribosomal RNA is filed under the name uncultured bacterium. RNAcentral's name for it is "partial 16S ribosomal RNA". It matches the Rfam family "Bacterial small subunit ribosomal RNA", at positions 524 to 776 of the family's 1533-position model. The record is from RNAcentral.